AUUGAACGCUGGCGGCAUGCCUUACACAUGCAAGUCGAACGGCAGCACGGGAGCAAUCCUGGUGGCGAGUGGCGAACGGGUGAGUAAAGUAUCGGAACGUGCCCUGUCGUGGGGGAUAACGUAGCGAAAGUUACGCUAAUACCGCAUACGAUCUAUGGAUGAAAGCGGGGGAUCGCAAGACCUCGCGCGAUUGGAGCGGCCGAUAUCAGAUUAGGUAGUUGGUGGGGUAAAGGCUCACCAAGCCGACGAUCAGUAGCUGGUCUGAGAGGACGACCAGCCACACUGGGACUGAGGCACGGCCCGGACUCCUACGGGAGGCAGCAGUGGGGAAUUUUGGACAAUGGGCGAAAGCCUGAUCCAGCCAUGCCGCGUGCAGGAUGAAGGCCUUCGGGUUGUAAACUGCUUUUGUACGGAACGAAAAGAUUUGGCCUAAUAAGCUGAGCUCAUGACGGUACCGUAAGAAUAAGCACCGGCUAACUACGUGCCAGCCGCCGCAGUAA
This 500-nucleotide ribosomal RNA is filed under the name uncultured bacterium. RNAcentral describes it as "partial 16S ribosomal RNA". It matches the Rfam family "Bacterial small subunit ribosomal RNA", at positions 30 to 523 of the family's 1533-position model. The record is from RNAcentral.